GGUGGAUUAGUGGCGAACGGGUGAGUAACACGUGGGCAAUCUGCCCUGCACUCUGGGACAAGCCCUGGAAACGGGGUCUAAUACCGGAUGACACUUUCUCUCGCAUGGGAGAAGGUUGAAAGCUCCGGCGGUGCAGGAUGAGCCCGCGGCCUAUCAGCUAGUUGGUGAGGUAGAAGCUCACCAAGGCGACGACGGGUAGCCGGCCUGAGAGGGCGACCGGCCACACUGGGACUGAGACACGGCCCAGACUCCUACGGGAGGCAGCAGUGGGGAAUAUUGCACAAUGGGCGAAAGCCUGAUGCAGCGACGCCGCGUGAGGGAUGACGGCCUUCGGGUUGUAAACCUCUUUCAGCAGGGAAGAAGCGCAAGUGACGGUACCUGCAGAAGAAGCGCCGGCUAACUACGUGCCAGCAGCCGCGGUAAUACGUAGGGCGCAAGCGUUGUCCGGAAUUAUUGGGCGUAAAGAGCUCGUAGGCGGCUUGUCACGUCGGUUGUGAAAGCCCGGGGCUUAACCCCGGGUCUGCAGUCGAUACGGGCAGGCUAGAGUGUGGUAGGGGAGAUCGGAAUUCCUGGUGUAGCGGUGAAAUGCGCAGAUAUCAGGAGGAACACCGGUGGCGAAGGCGGAUCUCUGGGCCAUUACUGACGCUGAGGAGCGAAAGCGUGGGGAGCGAACAGGAUUAGAUACCCUGGUAGUCCACGCCGUAAACGGUGGGAACUAGGUGUUGGCGACAUUCCACGUCGUCGGUGCCGC
RNAcentral lists this ribosomal RNA (751 nucleotides) under Streptomyces sp. Its description in RNAcentral is "bacterial SSU rRNA". It matches the Rfam family "Bacterial small subunit ribosomal RNA", at positions 86 to 849 of the family's 1533-position model. The record is from RNAcentral. Lineage: Bacteria; Bacillati; Actinomycetota; Actinomycetes; Kitasatosporales; Streptomycetaceae.